RNAcentral lists this ribosomal RNA (204 nucleotides) under uncultured bacterium. RNAcentral describes it as "partial 16S ribosomal RNA". It matches the Rfam family "Bacterial small subunit ribosomal RNA", at positions 524 to 728 of the family's 1533-position model. The record is from RNAcentral.
CACGGGGGAGCAAGCGUUGUUCGGAAUCACUGGGCGUAAAGGGCGUCUAGGCGGUCAGGUAAGUGGGAUGUGAAAUGCCCCGGCUCACCCGGGGAGCGGCAUCCCAUACUGCUUGGCUUGAGUACGGGAGAGGAUGUGGGAAUUCCUGGUGUAGCGGUGAAAUGCGUAGAUAUCAGGAGGAACACCGGUGGCGAAGGCGCACAU